RNAcentral lists this ribosomal RNA (1011 nucleotides) under uncultured organism. Its description in RNAcentral is "bacterial SSU rRNA". It matches the Rfam family "Bacterial small subunit ribosomal RNA", at positions 148 to 1193 of the family's 1533-position model. The record is from RNAcentral.
CGGUGGAAACAGCGGCUAAUACCCGAUAGGCUCACGUGAUCGGGAGGUCAAGUGAGGAAAGGCUGCGGUGCUUGAGGAGGGGUCUGCGGCCCAUCAGCUAGUUGGUGAGGUAACGGCUCACCAAGGCGAAGACGGGUAGGGGGUGUGAGAGCACGACCCCCCACAAUGGGACUGCGACACGGCCCAUACUCCUACGGGAGGCAGCAGCAGGGAAUAUUGCGCAAUGGACGGAAGUCAGACGCAGCGACGCCGCGUGGGUGAGGAAGGCCUUCGGGUUGUAAAGCCCUUUUCUGGAGGGCGAGGCAGGACGGUACUCCAGGAAUAAGCGUCGGCUAACUACGUGCCAGCAGCCGCGGUAAGACGUAGGACGCAAGCGUUAUCCGGAUUUACUGGGCGUAAAGCGCCUGUAGGCGGCGGGAUAAGUCGGAUGUGAAAGCCCCGUGCUCAACGCGGGGAAGCCAUUCGAUACUGUCUGGCUAGAGAGCGGGAGAGGGAAACGGAAUUUCUGGUGUAGCGGUAAAAUGCGCAGAGAUCAGAAGGAACACCGAUGGCGAAGGCAGUUUCCUAGGCCGUAUCUGACGCUGAGAGGCGAAAGCUAGGGGAGCGAACAGGAUUAGAGACCCUGGUAGUCCUAGCUGUAAACGCUGGAUGCUAGGUGUGGGCCAGAGCGGUCCGUGCCGGAGUUAACGCGAUAAGCAUCCCGCCUGGGGAGUAGGGCCGCAAGGCUAAAACUCAAACGAAUUGACGGGGACCCGCACAAGCAGCGGAGCGUGUGGUUUAAUUCGAUGCUACACGCAGAACCUUACCUGGGCUUGACAUGUAGGUGGUAGUGAAGUGAAAGCGGAGCGACCCUUCGGGGAGCCUACACAGGUGCUGCAUGGCUGUCGUCAGCUCGUGCCGUGAGGUGCCGGGAUAAGUCCAGUAACGAGCGCAACCCUUGUCCUUAGUUACAAGUGUGUAAUGAGACUCCCGGUGACAAACCGGAGGAAGGUGGGGAUGACGUCAAGUCAG